GGAGGAUUCGCCUAGUGGCCUAGGGCGCACGCCUUGGAAAGCGUGUUGGGGGCAACCCCUCACGAGUUCGAAUCUCGUAUCCUCCG
RNAcentral lists this transfer RNA (86 nucleotides) under Streptomyces sp. GKU 257-1. RNAcentral describes it as "tRNA-Pro". It matches the Rfam family "tRNA". Rfam says of the family: Transfer RNA (tRNA) molecules are approximately 80 nucleotides in length. Their secondary structure includes four short double-helical elements and three loops (D, anti-codon, and T loops). Lineage: Bacteria; Bacillati; Actinomycetota; Actinomycetes; Kitasatosporales; Streptomycetaceae. The record is from RNAcentral.